ACCUUUUGGACAGCUGAAGACUACCACCAAGAUUACUACAUUAAAAACCCUGGAGACUAUGCAUACUACAAAGAGCGAUGUGGUAGGGAAAAAAGGCUCAAGUACAUCUGGGGCGAAGAUGUC
Molecule: non-coding RNA, 123 nt
Filed under: Thalassionema frauenfeldii
Lineage: Eukaryota; Bacillariophyta; Fragilariophyceae; Thalassionematales; Thalassionemataceae
Source: RNAcentral